This 2724-nucleotide ribosomal RNA is filed under the name Triticum aestivum (bread wheat). RNAcentral's name for it is "partial small subunit ribosomal RNA". The record is from RNAcentral. Lineage: Eukaryota; Viridiplantae; Streptophyta; Magnoliopsida; Poales; Poaceae.
AUGGGGAGUGGAAGAACCACCACGGAUUCAUGCGUGCAGUGGUUGUUUGGAGAGAAUUUUUCAAGCCUCGAGGAUCUUGCUUCUGCAGCUCUUGCUUCACCUAAUGUAUCCACAGAGGAGGAAGCUGUGAACACCAUCAACGAUGUUCUAUCUAAGUUGGAUUUUUCAGAAAACCCCACUGCUGCUGAGCAGGGGGCUCCAACUCUUGUGCUUGCCACUGCCACGCCUACACCUUCUCCGCUUGGUGCUGGUGCAUCUGGUAAGGGGAAGAAAUGCAGCGUCAAGCGCAAGGUUGCACCUGCAAAGGUCAACAAGGGUGAGAAGAAGCAUUCUCGUGUUAAUACAGAGGCCAAGGAUGAUGCUGAUUUCAAUGCUGAUGACGAGGACGACGAUGAUGAUGAUGCGGCUGAUCAAGUUGAUUCCAACGUUUCUCGUCCUUUGAUGGGCAACAUCUACAAAAGGAUCGACCCUACAACCAUGAUUCUGGACAUGGGUGAGGCGAACAAGGUUCUGCGUAUUACAACUGAUGCUAUUCACCAUCUGUUUGGAUUCCCUCAAGGUAGUCGUACCCCUCCUCGGCCCUUGAAUGAUGGGUUUGAUGAUGCUGUUAUGAGGUUGAAGGGCAAGCUUGGGGAGGCAGCAAUGGCUGAGAAUCUUGUGUUUGAGGAUAUGGCAGAUAUGGACUACUGCCAGUUGGUUGUUGACGAUAUUCGGAGUGCUGUUGUUAGGUAUCAACAAGGUACUAGCAGAGGAAAAGUUGUCACAGGUUGUGCCAUCGCGCCGCUUCUUAUGUAUCUGGACUGCCUUAUCAUUGGCAAGACGCCUAAUAUUGACUUGAGGACCCCUCGCAUCAAUUUCAUGGAUCAGGUCAAGCUUCUUGAGCUUGCUAUGGCUAACUUGGUUAAGAAGGGUGAUGCUGACCCAGCCAACUGGGUGUUUGGGAGACUGCCUGCUGUUGAUGAUGGUGCUAGGGUUGAGGAGGAUGUUUUACCUGUGUUACCUGUGCAUGAAGCUGCCCCGGUGGAUGAACCUGCUCCCGCUAGUGAUGUAUUAGUUGAUGAGGUUCAUGGCAUUAAAAAUGAGAAUGAUGAUGCUAGUGUUACUCCAGAGAAUGUUGCAAACAAGUCCGUGUUAGGUACCGGCUGCUCCGACGAGGUGGACCCGACUGAACCUCGGUCGUCCAUUGGCGCUGAGGUUUCUGGUGCUGAGCAGGGCAAGACAGCUGAGGUUAAUGAUGCUGAGCAGGGCAAGAUAGCUAGAGAUAUCAUUUUGGAGAAAUAUCCCAUCGAGGCUGCUGUUGAGACUGGUGGUAGUGCUGCUGCAAGCCCGGAGAAGUCUCCUGUAGCAGAGCCAUCAGUUGAUGUUGAUACUAUUCAAACACAGCCAACAAUUUUUGUUGUUUCAGAUUCUCCAGCUGCUCCAGCUACUGCCAGUGACCUUCCCGACACGCUGCAAUGUCUACUAGAGAUGACGAUGAAUAGACUGAAAGCGAUAGCUAUGGAGAGGAGAUCAACGAUUAUGUUCCAAAACAAUGAGUGUGAAGCUUCUGUUGAGGAUGUCACAAUAUCUUUUGCUCCUCGUGGAAUGCUUCGAUCUAAUGUGGCUGAGGUUGCACUCUACUGUCUACGUGCGAAGUACCAGGGAUCGGAUAAACUCAUCCUGCCGUAUUGGGUUUGUGACAAGAUUUUUAGAGAUAUCAGGAAGACGUUGAUGUACUCAAUCGCUUGUUCCAACCUGUUUGAGACAGACUUCCAAGCUUUGUUUGGCUACUACACAUUGGAGCCAUUGGACUUGACCUAUUACCACUACUUAUUCCUCGGGUCACAGGAAUACCAGCCUAGGGAGGAAUCGACGAGUACAGCUCCGAUAGAAGAUGAUAGACCUCGAACCCUUAUUCCUUCCAAGGUGGGGAAGCAGGCUAGUGGUAUUCGUGGUACUCCAAAAACCCCUUGCUCUAGGAAGGUUGGUGUAAUCGAAGCAGCCGAAGCAGAAGUGAUUUCGUCUGAUGAUGAUUUUGAGAAGAUUUCUCACCCGAAGAACGGUAAAUCUGCUGCUGGUACUGUUGCUGGGAGAGGUGGGAAGAAUGUUGUCAUCACUAGGAGGAAACCGGCAGUUGAGUCUGGCAACAUAACUUCCUCCAAGAGAGCAUCAAGAUUGCCUUUGAACACAAGCUACUGCAUGUUUACCAUCCGUGGGAAUGUGAUUGACCUCAUAGGACAAGUCCUUUAUACCCUUUUUGGUGAAGGGCAGCAGAUGGAAGGAGACGUAAUGGAUUAUCUCAUUAAUUUGUGGAAGGAUAAGACAGAGACCUCUAAGAUAUUCUCUUCUGCUGACAGGGUUGUACUUAGUCCCUACUUCAUACAGAUCAAGAGAUUUGUUGGGUUGCUCGAGGAGGUGUACGGCAAGGCUAUGUACAAAGCGAGCAAGCAGCCUAACUACGUGACUAUUGCAAAGAGGUUGACUUUUAUCGAUGUUCCAAAGCAGAAGAAUAAUGAUUGUGGUUUCUUUGCCAUGAAGUUCUGCUCUUCAUAUGAUGGCGAUGAGCUUGUUGAAGAUUUUGGUGAUGUGGAAUUAUCCGUUACUACACCAUCGUUUCAUUUUCUUUGUUUGCAAGCUGCUGCAGAUGACUGGAAGGCUGAGUUCAUGCACACUCUAAUGUUUAGCGAGAAGAAUGAAGUCAUGCGUGCAGAGCUCCCUAAAGAGAUCCAGUCCUUUGGCCCGUGA